GGAGGGGUGGCAGAGUGGCUGAUUGCGGCGGUCUUGAAAACCGCUAGGCCGAAAGGCCUCGGGGGUUCGAAUCCUCCCCCCUCCG
RNAcentral lists this transfer RNA (85 nucleotides) under Candidatus Omnitrophica bacterium CG11_big_fil_rev_8_21_14_0_20_64_10. Its description in RNAcentral is "tRNA-Ser". It matches the Rfam family "tRNA". Rfam says of the family: Transfer RNA (tRNA) molecules are approximately 80 nucleotides in length. Their secondary structure includes four short double-helical elements and three loops (D, anti-codon, and T loops). Further hydrogen bonds mediate the characteristic L-shaped molecular structure. tRNAs have two regions of fundamental functional importance: the anti-codon, which is responsible for specific mRNA codon recognition, and the 3' end, to which the tRNAs corresponding amino acid is attached (by aminoacyl-tRNA synthetases). tRNAs cope with the degeneracy of the genetic code in two manners: having more than one tRNA (with a specific anti-codon) for a particular amino acid; and 'wobble' base-pairing, i.e. permitting non-standard base-pairing at the 3rd anti-codon position. Lineage: Bacteria; Pseudomonadati; Candidatus Omnitrophota. The record is from RNAcentral.